UAGGGAAUCUUCCACAAUGGGCGCAAGCCUGGUGGAGCGACACCGCGUGAGUGAAGAAGGGUUUCGGCUCGUAAAGCUCUGUUGUUAAAGAAGAACACGUAUGAGAGUAACUGUUCAUACGUUGACGGUAUUUAACCAGAAAGUCACGGCUAACUACGUGCC
This 162-nucleotide ribosomal RNA is filed under the name uncultured bacterium. RNAcentral describes it as "partial 16S rRNA". It matches the Rfam family "Bacterial small subunit ribosomal RNA", at positions 355 to 509 of the family's 1533-position model. The record is from RNAcentral.